CCUACGGGGGGCAGCAGUGGGGAAUAUUGCACAAUGGGGGCAACCCUGAUGCAGCGACGUCGCGUGAGUGAUGAAGUAUCUCGGUAUGUAAAGCUCUAUCAGCAGGGAAGAAAGAAAUGACGGUACCUGCCUAAGAAGCCUCGGUUAACUACGUGCCAGCAGCCGCGGCAAUACGUAGGGGGCAAGCGUUAUCCGGAUUUACUGGGUGUAAAGGGAGCGUAGACGGCGAUGCAAGUCUGAAGUGAAAGGCGGGGGCCCAACCCCUGGACUGCUUUGGAGACUGUAUGGCUGGAGUGCAGGGGAGGUAAGUGGAAUUCCUAGUGUAGCGGUGAAAUGCGUAGAUAUUAGGAGGAACACCAGUGGCGAAGGCGGCUUACUGAACUGUAACUGACGUUGAGGCUCGAAAGCGUGGGGAGCAAACAGGAUUAGAUACCCUAGUAGUC
This 443-nucleotide ribosomal RNA is filed under the name uncultured bacterium. RNAcentral's name for it is "partial 16S ribosomal RNA". It matches the Rfam family "Bacterial small subunit ribosomal RNA", at positions 338 to 795 of the family's 1533-position model. The record is from RNAcentral.